RNAcentral lists this ribosomal RNA (254 nucleotides) under uncultured bacterium. RNAcentral's name for it is "partial 16S ribosomal RNA". It matches the Rfam family "Bacterial small subunit ribosomal RNA", at positions 524 to 776 of the family's 1533-position model. The record is from RNAcentral.
UACGUAGGGUGCGAGCGUUUGUCCGGAAUUAUUGGGCGUAAAGGGCUCGUAGGCGGUCUGUCACGUCGAAAGUGAAAACUCAGGGCUCAACCCUGAGCCUGCUUCCGAUACGGGCAGACUAGAGGUAUGCAGGGGAGAAUGGAAUUCCUGGUGUAGCGGUGAAAUGCGCAGAUAUCAGGAGGAACACCAGUGGCGAAGGCGGUUCUCUGGGCAUUACCUGACGCUGAGGAGCGAAAGUGUGGGGAGCGAACAGG